GUAGUUGUAGCUUACACUAAAGCACAGCACUGAAAAUGCUGAGACGAGCCACGCUCCAAAUACA
This 64-nucleotide transfer RNA is filed under the name Draco maculatus. Its description in RNAcentral is "tRNA-Phe". It matches the Rfam family "tRNA". Rfam says of the family: Transfer RNA (tRNA) molecules are approximately 80 nucleotides in length. Their secondary structure includes four short double-helical elements and three loops (D, anti-codon, and T loops). Lineage: Eukaryota; Metazoa; Chordata; Lepidosauria; Squamata; Agamidae. The record is from RNAcentral.